UGGGGAAUAUUGCACAAUGGGCGCAAGCCUGAUGCAGCCAUGCCGCGUGUGUGAAGAAGGCCUUCGGGUUGUAAAGCACUUUCAGCGGGGAGGAAGGCGUUAAGGUUAAUAACCUUGGCGAUUGACGUUACCCGCAGAAGAAGCACCGGCUAACUCCGUGCCAGCAGCCGCGGUAAUACGGAGGGUGCAAGCGUUAAUCGGAAUUACUGGGCGUAAAGCGCACGCAGGCGGUCUGUCAAGUCGGAUGUGAAAUCCCCGGGCUCAACCUGGGAACUGCAUUCGAAACUGGCAGGCUAGAGUCUUGUAGAGGGGGGUAGAAUUCCAGGUGUAGCGGUGAAAUGCGUAGAGAUCUGGAGGAAUACCGGUGGCGGAGGCGGCACCCUGGACAAAGACUGACGCUCAGGUGCGAAAGCGUGGGGAGCAAACAGG
This 429-nucleotide ribosomal RNA is filed under the name Chloroflexota bacterium. Its description in RNAcentral is "Chloroflexi bacterium partial 16S ribosomal RNA". It matches the Rfam family "Bacterial small subunit ribosomal RNA", at positions 355 to 776 of the family's 1533-position model. Lineage: Bacteria; Bacillati; Chloroflexota. The record is from RNAcentral.